UGGGGAAUAUUGGACAAUGGGGGGAACCCUGAUCCAGCCAUGCCGCGUGUGUGAAGAAGGCCUUAUGGUUGUAAAGCACUUUAAGCGAGGAGGAGGGUACUGGUAUUAAUACUACCAGCUACUGGACGUUACUCGCAGAAUAAGCACCGGCUAACUCUGUGCCAGCAGCCGCGGUAAUACAGAGGGUGCGAGCGUUAAUCGGAUUUACUGGGCGUAAAGCGUGCGUAGGCGGCUAAUUGAGUCGGAUGUGAAAUCCCCGAGCUUAACGUGGGAAUUGCAUUCGAUACUGGUUAGCUAGAGUGUGGGAGAGGAUGGUAGAAUUCCAGGUGUAGCGGUGAAAUGCGUAGAGAUCUGGAGGAAUACCGAUGGCGAAGGCAGCCAUCUGGCCUAACACUGACGCUGAGGUACGAAAGCAUGGGGAGCAAACAGG
Molecule: ribosomal RNA, 430 nt
Filed under: Pseudomonadota bacterium
Lineage: Bacteria; Pseudomonadati; Pseudomonadota
Description: Proteobacteria bacterium partial 16S ribosomal RNA
Rfam family: Bacterial small subunit ribosomal RNA
Source: RNAcentral